Molecule: ribosomal RNA, 332 nt
Filed under: uncultured bacterium
Lineage: Bacteria
Description: bacterial SSU rRNA
Rfam family: Bacterial small subunit ribosomal RNA
Source: RNAcentral
UGCGUAGGCGGUUCUUUGUGUCCGCUGUGAAAGCCCCGGGCUUAACCUGGGAAUGGCAGUGGAAACUAGAGGACUCAGAAUCUGGCAGAGGGGGGUGGAAUGCCACGUGUAGCAGUGAAAUGCGUAGAGAUGUGGCGGAACACCGAUGGCGAAGGCAGCCCCCUGGGCUGAGAUUGACGCUCAGGCACGAAAGCGUGGGGAGCAAACAGGAUUAGAUACCCUGGUAGUCCACGCCCUAAACGAUGAUCACUAGGUGUUGGGGAAGCGAUUUCCUAGUACCGCAGCUAACGCGUGAAGUGAUCCGCCUGGGGAGUACGGUCGCAAGAUUAAAA